This is a non-coding RNA of Potamilus streckersoni, 83 nucleotides long. Lineage: Eukaryota; Metazoa; Mollusca; Bivalvia; Unionida; Unionidae. The record is from the annotation of a GenBank genome assembly.
GUCGGGUUAGCCUAAGUGGUUAGAGCAUUCGCCUCCGAUGCGGGAUUUCGCGGGUUCGAAACUCGUCUGAGUCAUACCAGACU